GGGGUUGUGGCUCAGUGGCAGAGCGCUUGUCUCACACACAUGAGGCAUGGGGGUUGAUCCUCAGCACCA
This 69-nucleotide transfer RNA is filed under the name Ictidomys tridecemlineatus (thirteen-lined ground squirrel). RNAcentral describes it as "Spermophilus tridecemlineatus (thirteen-lined ground squirrel) tRNA". It matches the Rfam family "tRNA". Rfam says of the family: Transfer RNA (tRNA) molecules are approximately 80 nucleotides in length. Their secondary structure includes four short double-helical elements and three loops (D, anti-codon, and T loops). Further hydrogen bonds mediate the characteristic L-shaped molecular structure. tRNAs have two regions of fundamental functional importance: the anti-codon, which is responsible for specific mRNA codon recognition, and the 3' end, to which the tRNAs corresponding amino acid is attached (by aminoacyl-tRNA synthetases). tRNAs cope with the degeneracy of the genetic code in two manners: having more than one tRNA (with a specific anti-codon) for a particular amino acid; and 'wobble' base-pairing, i.e. permitting non-standard base-pairing at the 3rd anti-codon position. The record is from Rfam by way of RNAcentral. Lineage: Eukaryota; Metazoa; Chordata; Mammalia; Rodentia; Sciuridae.